RNAcentral lists this ribosomal RNA (255 nucleotides) under uncultured bacterium. Its description in RNAcentral is "partial 16S ribosomal RNA". It matches the Rfam family "Bacterial small subunit ribosomal RNA", at positions 524 to 776 of the family's 1533-position model. The record is from RNAcentral.
UACGUAGGGGGCAAGCGUUGUCCGGAUUUACUGGGCGUAAAGAGCGUGUAGGCGGCCAAGCAGGUCCGUUGUGAAAACUGGAGGCUUAACCUCCAGACGUCGACGGAAACCGCGUGGCUAGAGUCCGGAAGAGGAGAGUGGAAUUCCUGGUGUAGCGGUGAAAUGCGCAGAUAUCAGGAAGAACACCAAUGGCGAAGGCAGCUCUCGUGGGACGGUACUGACGCUGAGGCGACGAAAGCGUGGGGAGCGAACAGG